This 227-nucleotide ribosomal RNA is filed under the name uncultured bacterium. RNAcentral's name for it is "partial 16S ribosomal RNA". It matches the Rfam family "Bacterial small subunit ribosomal RNA", at positions 979 to 1198 of the family's 1533-position model. The record is from RNAcentral.
CACGUUUGACAUGUCUAGUUUGGUCGGCAGAGAUGCCUUCCUUCAGUUCGGCUGGCUAGAACACAGGUGCUGCAUGGCUGUCGUCAGCUCGUGUCGUGAGAUGUUGGGUUAAGUCCCGCAACGAGCGCAACCCUCGCUACUAGUUGCUACCAGGUUAAGCUGAGCACUCUAGUGGAACUGCCGGUGGCAAGCCGGAGGAAGGUGGGGAUGACGUCAAGUCCUCAUGG